AAUGAAAUCUGUAAAUACGGUGUCUAUGAAGACUUAAUAGGGAAUCUGGUGUAAAUCCAGAACUGUCCCCGCAACUGUAAGUGAUGACGAACUAAGGAAUGUCCACUAUCUAUAUAAGAUGGGAAGGCCUUAUAGUAGGAUGAAGCACGAGUCAGGAGACCUGCCGUAUUUAUCACGUACAA
Molecule: non-coding RNA, 182 nt
Filed under: [Bacillus] enclensis
Lineage: Bacteria; Bacillati; Bacillota; Bacilli; Caryophanales; Bacillaceae
Source: RNAcentral